UCAUCUAUAUUUAUCACACAUUUUUUUUUUAGUAUUAAAUCAACAAAUUUCUACUUUCACAGGACACACUGAAGUAUAAAUGGAAGUAGAACAUUUUGUGUCAACACAUAACGGUGCUGUUAUGCCAUAAUUCGAUUUAAAAAGUAGGAGGGUACAAACACAACUACAGUACUGAGGGGUAAUUGUUCGUGCAUACCUCGCCGAGAAUGAAGAGAAAAUGUCGCAGUUCAAGAGAUGACUACUUAUCCUGCACCAUAAAAGUACUUUAUAACUCACAGUUGAUGGAUAACAAGGUUAAAGAGUAGUUAUAACCCAAGGAGACGAAUGUUCUAAAAAAUGGAAGUUCAAAAGACGAAUGUUCUAAAAAAUGGCAGCUCAAAAUCAGUUGUAGACGACUAAAAUCAUGUUAAAAAGUACCUUAAGGUAGCAGUGUUACAUGAACACCGACUCGACUAGCUAGUAGCAGCAUAUACACAGGGUAUUUUAUGUUUGAUAUUGACUAUCUGAGUGCUAUGAAAGCUGUGGAUCAUCGAAAAUAUUGGUGAUAAACGAGUCAUUGACAUAAGUAUUUUGUAAUUCAGGACAGUGCUUGACUUGAGAAGUUGCAAACGAUGAGUUAAACUGUGUUCAUAAGUCACUAAACUUUGUUGUUACAUACUAAUUUUAAAUAUGACGAACAUUUUGUUUAUGGUUAAA
Long non-coding RNA from Mytilus trossulus (common blue mussel), 696 nucleotides. RefSeq lists it as uncharacterized. The transcript has 3 exons. NCBI's taxonomy places the organism in Eukaryota, Metazoa, Mollusca, Bivalvia, Mytilida, Mytilidae. The record is from RefSeq and is a predicted model, not a curated record.